GUAACAAUGCCUGUCAGAAUCGGCAAAGAGGUGGUCUUGAAAGAAGGGUAAAUUUUGGGGUGUAAAACAUGAUCUCAUGCCUCCAGGAAAAAUGAAGGGUAAAUUUUGGGGUAUUACAUUUUGCAUAAGGAAUGUUGCCUAAUUCUAAGUCCAAUGUCUCAGAUCAAAUCCAACAGUCCACACAAAUGUCUUUUAGGAUUUUUGUUCUUAUUAUGUACAUUAAGGUCAAAGGACCACAAACACAAACAAGUAUACACAAUUAUAAUCACA
This 270-nucleotide long non-coding RNA is filed under the name Lathyrus oleraceus (garden pea). RNAcentral describes it as "Pisum sativum (pea) long non-coding RNA (PSAT_LNC029758)". Lineage: Eukaryota; Viridiplantae; Streptophyta; Magnoliopsida; Fabales; Fabaceae. The record is from RNAcentral.